Molecule: ribosomal RNA, 505 nt
Filed under: uncultured bacterium
Lineage: Bacteria
Description: partial 16S ribosomal RNA
Rfam family: Bacterial small subunit ribosomal RNA
Source: RNAcentral
AUUGAACGCUGGCGGCACGCCUAACACAUGCAAGUCGAGCGGUAACAUGAUUAGUAGCAAUACUAAUUGAUGACGAGCGGCGGACGGGUGAGGAACACGUAGGAACCUGCCCAAGAGAGGGGGAUAACUAAGGGAAACUUUAGCUAAUACCGCAUAAUUCUCUGAGGAGAAAAGUUGCCCGCAAGGGUAGCGCUUUUGGAGGGGCCUGCGUCCGAUUAGUUAGUUGGUGAGGUAACGGAUCACCAAGACGAUGAUCGGUAACUGGUCGGAGAGGACGACCAGUCACACUGGGACUGAGACACGGCCCAGACUCCUACGGGAGGCAGCAGUGGGGAAUAUUGGACAAUGGGCGCAAGCCUGAUCCAGCAACGCCGUGUGUGUGAAGAAGGCCUUAGGGUUGUAAAGCACUUUUAGUGGGGAAGAAAAGUUCAUGGCUAAUAUCCAUGAAUGCUGACGUUACCCACAGAAAAAGCACUGGCUAACUCUGUGCCAGCCGCCGCCGUAA